This 1230-nucleotide ribosomal RNA is filed under the name Triticum aestivum (bread wheat). Its description in RNAcentral is "partial small subunit ribosomal RNA". The record is from RNAcentral. Lineage: Eukaryota; Viridiplantae; Streptophyta; Magnoliopsida; Poales; Poaceae.
AUGGUGUGGCGAGUUGGCAAUGGCGACAAUAUUAGGAUCUGGCAGGACCCAUGGCUACCUUCUGGUGCGGUCAGGUACCCAAGAACGAGGAGGGGAAGCACCCUGUUGACUAGGGUUGCUGAGUUGAUUGAUCCAUACACUAACUCUUGGGAUACUCAGCUGGUUAGGCAAACUUUCUGUCAGGAGGAUGCAAAUGUGAUCUUGUCGAUUCCGAUCUUUGAACAUCAUGACGACUUCGUGGCAUGGCAGUUUGACAGGAAGGGGUUAUUCUCUGUCCGCUCAGCGUAUAGGAUUUACGUCGACCUUCUUCGGCGCCAAUGCCAGCGGCAAACUGGUGAAUGCUCGUCAGGGCGGGAGGAGGAUAAGAAAAUAUUGGCUCACAAUAGUCACCCUUUGCUGCGAAACGUGGAGCACAUUGGAGUUGAGCUGGACACAAGUUGCGUGGUGUGCCAUCGACUGCCGGAGGACGGAGGGCACUUGUUUCUGCGCUGCAAAAAGGUAAAGAAAAUGUGGAGAGCUUGUGGUCUGAAGGGUGUUCGUCAAAGCCUGCUUGAAUGCCAAACAUCUCGCCGGCUGCUGGAGGAGCUCUUUCGUAUACCCAAGGAUGAAAAUCUAAAAGCAAUUUGCCUCCUGUGGUUGUGGUGGACAGAGAGGAACAAAACGAAUCAUAACCAAAACAGAGCAUCAGUGGAGGAGUUUCAGUCCCAAGAGUGCAGAGGAUUUAGAAAUGGGUCUAAGCCAGCUCUGGAUGUGGUUAAAAUCAACAUUGAUGCAGCUUUUAGGGGCCUGUCACAACCUGGUGGCUGGGGGUGCAUUGCUCGGGACCAUGCUGGAGACAUCCUCUUCGCUGUCGCCGAGUGCUGGAAAACAUGUACGAUGCUCUUCAUGCUGAAGCUUCUGCCCUGCUGCGUGCUGUCCGGUUUGCUGAAGAUCAUGUGCAUGGGCCGUGUUGUUUUUCAGACUGAUUGCUUGGCUCUUGUGCAGGCCAUCAAUUCUGGAACUCCUGAUCGAUCCUUGCUGGGUGUCAUCUUUCGCGAGCUCAAAUACCUGCUCCGUUUCGGUUUUAUUAAGUGGAAUGACUACCACUGUCCACGCGCCUGUAAUGUCCCAGCCCAUGAACUGGCUGCUUUAGGCUGUAGUGGUGCCUAUGGGAACCAAUGUGUUUGGCUUUCAAACCUCCCUGACAAUGUAAUGUGUGUUGUGACCACCGAUCUGGUUGGUCCUGGGUAA